CCAGACUCCUACGGGAGGCAGCAGUAGGGAAUCUUCGGCAAUGGACGGAAGUCUGACCGAGCAACGCCGCGUGAGUGAAGAAGGUUUUCGGAUCGUAAGGCUCUGUUGUAAGAGAAGAACGAGUGUGAGAGUGGAAAGUUCACACUGUGACGGUAUCUUACCAGAAAGGGACGGCUAACUACGUGCCAGCAGCCGCGGUAAUACGUAGGUCCCGAGCGUUGUCCGGAUUUAUUGGGCGUAAAGCGAGCGCAGGCGGUUAGAUAAGUCUGAAGUUAAAGGCUGUGGCUCAACCAUAGUACGCUUUGGAAACUGUUUAACUUGAGUGCAAGAGGGGAGAGUGGAAUUCCAUGUGUAGCGGUGAAAUGCGUAGAUAUAUGGAGGAACACCGGUGGCGAAAGCGGCUCUCUGGCUUGUAACUGACGCUGAGGCUCGAAAGCGUGGGGAGCAAACAGGAUUAGAUACCCUGGUAGUCCACGCCGUAAACGAUGAGUGCUAGGUGUUAGACCCUUUCCGGGGUUUAGUGCCGCAGCUAACGCAUUAAGCACUCCGCCUGGGGAGUACGACCGCAAGGUUGAAACUCAAAGGAAUUGACGGGGGCCCGCACAAG
This 607-nucleotide ribosomal RNA is filed under the name uncultured bacterium. Its description in RNAcentral is "bacterial SSU rRNA". It matches the Rfam family "Bacterial small subunit ribosomal RNA", at positions 331 to 929 of the family's 1533-position model. The record is from RNAcentral.